Molecule: long non-coding RNA, 1437 nt
Filed under: Gallus gallus (chicken)
Lineage: Eukaryota; Metazoa; Chordata; Aves; Galliformes; Phasianidae
Description: lncRNA (ENSGALG00010022523.1)
Source: RNAcentral
CAACCCUCAGGUGCAGAUUUUAAGCGUCUUCAAACUUAAACAAGAAGAGAGAGCUAAACAAAUCCCUCUUGAUUCAAUCAAAUACCUCUUUCCAGCCAGCGGGAGUAACAGGCUUUGGGUGUUAGAUGGCUGGCCUGAGUGGAUUAAUAACUUGCUUUGUCUUAUCAGCCGAGUUUCAUCUAGAAAUAAAUCCCACCUGAUCUCUGCGAACAUGGCACGGAAUGAUUCCAGAGAGCACGGAGGACGAGAUGCUCACGCUCUGUGUGGUGCAGGAAGGGCUGUGGGCUGGCCUGGGGCCGUGAGGUCGGGGCUGGGACUUUGCCAUGACAGCAGCACGCUGAUGGAGCGAGACACGAUGUGGGGAGAAAUCCAGCAGAGACUUCUUUUCUCCCUCACUCAGACUCCCACCUCAAGGCUCAAUUUCCACGAUGCCUCCCAUGGGAAAUUCCAUGGAAAAAUAUCAUUUCUCUCUGUCCAAAUAGAAGGGAUGAUUUUCUUGUCAGUCUCCAAAUUGGCCUCCUUGGGACCACGCUCUGAGAUGGUGAUGUCUACAUUACGGAAUAGAGACAACUCUCACCUUACCAAAACAGAGAAGGAAAGAAAAAUGGUGGUUAAUAGAAUCUCUCUUCUCAAAAAACAAACAAACAAACAGAACAAAACAAACAAAAACAUUACAAAAAAUCCUACAGACAGAGAGCCCUCAGACUGUGCCAUUCCUUAGGGUUUCAGCUCAGACUUCUUCAGGGACACUCCAACCUGAUUAAACUCCUAGGGAGACGCAGUUCAGAAAUUUAAUAGCCAAUACAGAUAUCAUAAAAGCCUGACUGUUGUUUGUGGUCAACGGUGCAGUUUUCUUUGAGCAGUGAGGAAGAGAAAUGUGUCUGUGUGUGAUGGAGAGUGGCAAUCAGUACUAAGAUGUGCACCCAGUUUGUUGGGAAAAGUAAUGGGAUAUAAAGGAAAGCAGGAGCAGAGUGAAGGAAGCACAGAAGAGCUGAUGGGAAGCCCCUGAGACUCAGAGGCAAUCUCUGUUCUCCCUUGCCAGCAUGCUGCAGUGUGAUGGAUAAGCGUCUAAAACAUGGGAAAACCUGAAGCAAGGAAGCACUCCUAUCCCUGAUGAAGAUGCAUCAUCACUGGGCUUGGUUCAAAAACCAUUAAAGCUUCUGAGUGGUUCCAGUGGGAAUGAGAACAACCCUUUUUCUGAAGAAAUAGAGGAGGGCUGUCGAUCAUCGUUCUGAAAAACCCUGCAAGUGAUGGACUGUGUCACUGUGAGCCGUGGAAUCGUCACUCCUUCCUCUUGGUUGGGGAGGCAUUGCAGAGUGGUGAUAAGCUGGGGUCAGAGCUGGUGGAGAUUGGAAACUAAAAAAGGACAUAAAUCUGGGAUGGGAUAGAAGUGGGGAAGGUGGAUCCUUGAAUAGAGAGCUGUCCAUUGACACAGCA